UUCAAAGAGGUAUUCCUGCC
Molecule: non-coding RNA, 20 nt
Filed under: Mus musculus (house mouse)
Lineage: Eukaryota; Metazoa; Chordata; Mammalia; Rodentia; Muridae
Source: RNAcentral